RNAcentral lists this ribosomal RNA (323 nucleotides) under Allapsidae sp. RNAcentral describes it as "SSU rRNA". The stretch from base 105 to 323 matches the Rfam family "Eukaryotic small subunit ribosomal RNA", at positions 736 to 955 of the family's 1831-position model. The record is from RNAcentral. Lineage: Eukaryota; Cercozoa; Glissomonadida; Viridiraptoridae.
GAUUUCUGGCAUGGUUUGCCUGGCCCGCCACGGUUUCGUGUGUGAGUGCCGGGUCGGAUCUGCCAUCCUUCCAGAGAACGAUUCUACCCUUCACUGGGCCGGGGUCGCAAUCUGGAUCGUUUACUUUGAAAAAAUUAGAGUGUUUCAAGCAGGCAUAUCGCUGUGAAUACAUUAGCAUGGAAUAAUAACUUAGGACUUCGGUUCUAUUUUGUUGGUUUCUAGGACUGAAGUAAUGAUUGAUAGGGAUAGUUGGGGGUGCUAGUAUUGGCCGGCCAGAGGUGAAAUUCUUGGAUUCGGUCAAGACUAACUUAUGCGAAAGCAUU